RNAcentral lists this transfer RNA (75 nucleotides) under Streptomyces artemisiae. RNAcentral's name for it is "tRNA-Ile". It matches the Rfam family "tRNA". Rfam says of the family: Transfer RNA (tRNA) molecules are approximately 80 nucleotides in length. Their secondary structure includes four short double-helical elements and three loops (D, anti-codon, and T loops). Further hydrogen bonds mediate the characteristic L-shaped molecular structure. tRNAs have two regions of fundamental functional importance: the anti-codon, which is responsible for specific mRNA codon recognition, and the 3' end, to which the tRNAs corresponding amino acid is attached (by aminoacyl-tRNA synthetases). tRNAs cope with the degeneracy of the genetic code in two manners: having more than one tRNA (with a specific anti-codon) for a particular amino acid; and 'wobble' base-pairing, i.e. permitting non-standard base-pairing at the 3rd anti-codon position. The record is from RNAcentral. RNAcentral also lists the same sequence under 3 other names. Lineage: Bacteria; Bacillati; Actinomycetota; Actinomycetes; Kitasatosporales; Streptomycetaceae.
GGGGCUAUAGCUCAGAUGGUUAGAGCGCAUCCCUGAUAAGGAUGAGGCCACAGGUUCAAGUCCUGUUAGCCCCAC